RNAcentral lists this ribosomal RNA (2361 nucleotides) under Triticum aestivum (bread wheat). RNAcentral describes it as "partial small subunit ribosomal RNA". Lineage: Eukaryota; Viridiplantae; Streptophyta; Magnoliopsida; Poales; Poaceae. The record is from RNAcentral.
AUGAGCGUGGAAGACGAGGUGCUGGGGGAGGAGGGGGAGGAGGACACGGAGGAGCUCUUCUACGAGUCGCUCGACCGCAUCCUCUCCUCCUCGGCCUCCUCCACCUCCGCCUCCGCCUCGGACGACGACGGCGCCGACCUCCCGCGCCGCAGCCGCCGCUACGAUGCCGCCGCGCUCGACCUCUGGACCUCCCAGCCGGCGCCCAUCCAGGAGCGCCGCCACCGCCUGCUCCAGCUGAUGGGGCUCGCGGGGGACCCUUCCCUCGCGCGAUUCGAGAUGGGCCGAUCCGCCUCCUGCGACGACGUGGGGCCGCGGCCGGCUUCUCCCGUCUCGCGGUCCAGAUCGGGCGGGGCCUCCACGGCGAAGCCUCCGGUUGGAGGCGGCCGUUUGCGCCCCACCUCGCCCGACGCAUCAGAUGCCAGUGCCACGCUGGAGGCGGUCGAGGAGGACCCAAGCUGCUUGAUCAGAAACCUCGACGACGGCAGCGAGUUCGUGGUGAGGGAGGAGUUCGGGCUCCGCGAGGUUGGUACCGGCCGCCAGCUUACUGUGGAGGAGUUCGAGCUAUUCAUCGGCCGCUCCCCCAUCGUCCAGGAGCUCAUGCGCCGCCAAAGCGUCACCAACUCCAACCCAAACUCCAAUUCCCAAAGUGGCGCCUCAACCCCCAUGGAGAGGUCCAGCUCCGGCUCCAGCAAUGGCGGGGCGCGUUCUAGGCGGCGCAGCAGCUGGCUCCACACCAUCCGCAGUGCGGCUGGCUCCAUGGUCACCUAUUCACGUGACCGCCGCGGCGACGACAAGGACACGUCCUCAGAGAAGGGUGGCCGCCACUCCAGCUCGGCUACGGAAGACAGCCAGGAUGGUGUUGCACGCCAUGGUCCAGACCGUGUCAAGGUGCGCCACAACGGCAAGUCAUACAAGGAGCUCACUGGCCUGUUCAUGAACCAGCAGAUACAUGGGCACAAAGGGUCCAUCUGGAGCAUCAAGUUUAGUCCUGAUGGGCGAUACCUUGCAACUGCUGGAGAGGAUUGCGUGAUCCAUAUUUGGGAGGUGUUGCACUCCGGAAUGAUGAAGGAGGAGAGGGAGGUGGAAGAUAAUGGGACCUGCAAUCCUUUCGCUGCCAUGGUAUGUGAUGAGUCACCGGAGCCAAUGUUAGCAUCGGUGGCUACAGAGGGCAGCCAUUGGGAGAAGAGGCUGCCGGCAAAGGAUCUGCACAGUCGGAGAUCUGGGGGCUCAGACCAGUUGAUGGUGCCAGAGCAUGUGUUUGCACUGUCUGAGAAGCCUGUUAUAACCUUCGCAGGGCAUUUAAAGGAUGUGCUUGAUCUCUGCUGGUCCAAAUCUCAGUACUUGCUUUCAUCAUCAAUGGAUAAAACUGUACGGUUGUGGCACAUGUCAAGCACUUACUGUUUGAAAGCCUUCUCCCACAGUGACUAUGUGACUUGCAUCCAGUUCAACCCUGUUGAUGAUAGAUACUUCAUUAGUGGUUCUCUGGAUGAGAAGGUUCGAAUCUGGAGUAUACCGAAACGUGAAAUUGUUGAUUGGGUUGAUCUACAUGAAAUGAUUACUGCCGCAUGUUAUUCCCCCGAUGGACAGAGUGCACUCAUUGGCUCCCACAAGGGCAAUUGCCACGUGUAUGACACGUCUGAUAAUAUGCUUUCUUACAAGAAACAAAUUGACCUGCAACUCAAGAAAAAGAGAUCCAGUCAGAAGAAAAUCACAGGAUUCCAGUUUAUCCCAGGAAGUUCGUCAAAGGUCAUUGUCACAUCUGCGGACUCAAGAAUCCGAGUUGUUGAUGGCUUCGAACUACUUCACAAGUUUAAAGGGUUUCAGAACACCAGCAGCCAAAUCUCAGCUUGUUCAGCUGCAAACGGGAGGUACAUUAUUUCUGCGAGUGAGGAUUCACGUGUAUAUAUCUGGAGAUACAGUGAUGAUUCCAAACCAAGCAGAAAGAAGAGCAUUGUUCCUGUCACAAAUACCCAUGAGAACUUCCGCUGCGAGAGAGUAACAGUUGCUGUUGCUUGGCCUUGUGCCAGCGCCAGAAUGACUAAUAAAGCUAACUCCAGGAAGCAAGAUAACCUGGACUGUGUGGCUGGUAAUGGUCAUGUACUUGGAUCCGAACCUGCUAAAGAGGAUGAGAUUCCUGCUGUUCAGGACCAGAGCAACAAUUUAUGUAACAAUGGCGCGACUUGGCCCGAAGAGUUGAUGACAAAAACAAAACAAAGCCCCAAGUCUAAUACAACCCAUCCCGGUGAUGUAGAUCAAGCUCCGAGUCCGCCGGCCUGGGGCUUAGUGAUCGUGACAGCAGGCCAUGAUGGUCAAAUCAGAACAUAUCAGAACUUCGGUUUUCCAAGUAUAACGUCGAUCUGA